This 344-nucleotide long non-coding RNA is filed under the name Manihot esculenta (cassava). RNAcentral's name for it is "long non-coding RNA (MESC_LNC005651)". The record is from RNAcentral. Lineage: Eukaryota; Viridiplantae; Streptophyta; Magnoliopsida; Malpighiales; Euphorbiaceae.
UGCCUUUCUCACGAGGUACAUCCUCUGUGCAAAGCCCAAAAGGAUUUUUAAUAUAUUUAAAGAAAGAGAGGUUUUUGUUAGAUCUGAUGGUGAUUUACUCUGUUUGUGCCAUUUCCUCUUCAUUAUACGAAUGAAGGUUUUGUCGUCUUGUAGUUUUGCGCCUUCACUAGAAGAAGGAUUGUUGAAUUGUUUUGUGGCUCCGGUCGUUGUACUUUUCGCUCAAGUAUGUCCACCGAUGCGAGCUCCUUGCAGGCGUGCUACGCCGAGAGUGAUCGGUUAAUUUGUCUCGAGGUUAGUUUUUCUUAGACUCUAGAGUAUAAGGCCAGCAAAUUUUCCCAUCGCCC